RNAcentral lists this long non-coding RNA (932 nucleotides) under Homo sapiens (human). Its description in RNAcentral is "HSALNT0106082". The record is from RNAcentral. Lineage: Eukaryota; Metazoa; Chordata; Mammalia; Primates; Hominidae.
UUUACAAAAACUAAAAGGUUAGCAGUCAUGGUGGUGCGCAUCUGUAGUCCUAGCUAUACUGAGGAGGCUCAGGUGGGAGGAUCGCUUGAGCCCAGGAGGUCAAGGCUGCAGUGACCUGUGAUUGUGCCACUGCAUUCAGCCUGGGCAAUGGUAAAACCCUGUCAAAAAAUGCAAUUUUUGUUUUCAAAAACGAUAAACAAAGACUAGAGAAUUUAAUUUAUCCAUGGGUUUCAGGUUUGAGUAUAUAUAUUUUUUUAUUUUUGAGACGGAGUCUUGCUCUGUCGCCCAGGCUGGAGUGCAGUGGCACAAUCUCGGCUCCCUGCAACCUCCGCCUUCCGGGUUCAAGCGAUUCUCCUGCCUCAGCCUCCCGAGUAGCUGGGACUACAGGCACCCACCACCACGGUGGGCUGAUUUUUGUAUUUUUAGUAGAGACAGGGUUUCACCAUGUUGUCCAAGCUGGUCUUGUACUCCUGACCUCAGGUGAUCCGCCCGCCUGGGCCUCCCAAAGUGCUGGGAUUUACAGGCGUGAGCCACCGCGCCCGGCCCAGGUUUGAGUAUUUCUUAAUCAAUGAUCUCCAAAUGUUUCCCAGUCCAAUGCGUUAAAUAUGAACGCUUAGGCAAGAUUGCUCCGGAAGGCCCGGGAAAUACUUGACCGGCUUAUGCCCCUCCCACCCCUACUUUUGAGGAAGGUGCCCGGAAUGGGACAUGGAUAGGGUCCCGGAAUUGGCCUUCUCCGGAAUCGGAAUCUGAGCGAGGACUCCGGGAUCCCCAGCCUGAGGACCUCCGGCGUUUCCACUCCCUGGCUCCCCGUCCCACCUGUUGCCUUUGCUAUGCCUACCCUGGUUCUUUUUCGUGCUAUGGAGACAGCGUGGGCAACUCCAGCGCAAGAAGGUGCAGCUGUUGUGGAGAUCUGCUGACCAAUGUCAAGUUCA